This 515-nucleotide ribosomal RNA is filed under the name uncultured bacterium. RNAcentral's name for it is "bacterial SSU rRNA". It matches the Rfam family "Bacterial small subunit ribosomal RNA", at positions 9 to 514 of the family's 1533-position model. The record is from RNAcentral.
GAGUUUGAACCUGGCUCAGGACGAACGCUGGCGGCGUGCCUAACACAUGCAAGUCGAACGGAGAUACACGCUGAAUGGAUGGAGCUUGCUUUUGAAAUUCUUGUGUAUCUUAGUGGCGGACGGGUGAGUAACGCGUGAGCAACCUGCCUUUCAGAGGGGGAUAACGUUUGGAAACGAACGCUAAUACCGCAUGAGACCACGGUACUGCAUAGUACAGUGGCCAAAGGAGCAAUCCGCUGAAAGAUGGGCUCGCGUCCGAUUAGAUAGUUGGCGGGGUAACGGCCCACCAAGUCGACGAUCGGUAGCCGGACUGAGAGGUUGAACGGCCACAUUGGGACUGAGACACGGCCCAGACUCCUACGGGAGGCAGCAGUGAGGGAUAUUGGUCAAUGGGGGAAACCCUGAACCAGCAACGCCGCGUGAGGGAAGACGGUUUUCGGAUUGUAAACCUCUGUCCUCUGUGAAGAUAAUGACGGUAGCAGAGGAGGAAGCUCCGGCUAACUACGUGCCAGCAG